GAAAUACUCCCUCCGUUCCAAAUUACUCGUCGCAGAAAUAGAUGUAUCUAAAACUAAAAUACAUCUAGAUACAUCUAUACAUGCGACAAGUAAUUCAGAACGGAGGAGUAAUAA
Triticum urartu is the source of this 114-nucleotide non-coding RNA. The record is from Rfam. NCBI's taxonomy places the organism in Eukaryota, Viridiplantae, Streptophyta, Magnoliopsida, Poales, Poaceae.